Molecule: ribosomal RNA, 431 nt
Filed under: uncultured bacterium
Lineage: Bacteria
Description: bacterial SSU rRNA
Rfam family: Bacterial small subunit ribosomal RNA
Source: RNAcentral
AACGCGAAGAACCUUACCAGGGCUUGACAUCCUACUAACGAAGCAGAGAUGCAUUAGGUGCCCUUCGGGGAAAGUAGAGACAGGUGGUGCAUGGUUGUCGUCAGCUCGUGUCGUGAGAUGUUGGGUUAAGUCCCGCAACGAGCGCAACCCUUAUCGUUAGUUGCUACGCAAGAGCACUCUAGCGAGACUGCCGUUGACAAAACGGAGGAAGGUGGGGACGACGUCAAAUCAUCAUGCCCUUUAUGUCCUGGGCUACACACGUACUACAAUGGCGGUUAACAGAGGGAGGCAAACCCGCGAGGGGGAGCGAAACCCUAAAAACCGUCUCAGUUCAGAUCGCAGGCUGAAACCCGCCUGCGUGAAGGUGGAAUUGCUAGUAAUCGCGGAUCAGCAUGCCGCGGUGAAUACGUUCCCGGGUCUUGUACACACCG